This 271-nucleotide ribosomal RNA is filed under the name uncultured bacterium. Its description in RNAcentral is "partial 16S ribosomal RNA". It matches the Rfam family "Bacterial small subunit ribosomal RNA", at positions 82 to 354 of the family's 1533-position model. The record is from RNAcentral.
CCUUUGCCGGCGACCGGCGCACGGGUGAGUAACACGUAUGCAACCUGCCCUCUUCAGGGGGACAACCUUCCGAAAGGGAGGCUAAUCCCGCGUAUAUCGGUUUCGGGCAUCCGAGAUCGAGGAAAGAUUCAUCGGAAGAGGAUGGGCAUGCGGCGCAUUAGCUAGACGGCGGGGUAACGGCCCACCGUGGCGACGAUGCGUAGGGGUUCUGAGAGGAAGGUCCCCCACACUGGUACUGGGACACGGACCAGACUCCUACGGAAGGCAGCAG